This 57-nucleotide unclassified non-coding RNA is filed under the name Humulus lupulus (European hop). Lineage: Eukaryota; Viridiplantae; Streptophyta; Magnoliopsida; Rosales; Cannabaceae. The record is from RNAcentral.
GCCGGGCUUAGCAACGUGGGCCUGUAACCCAAGUGGGGGCAUGCGGGAAAUUGAAGU